Molecule: ribosomal RNA, 468 nt
Filed under: uncultured bacterium
Lineage: Bacteria
Description: partial 16S ribosomal RNA
Rfam family: Bacterial small subunit ribosomal RNA
Source: RNAcentral
GACGAACGCUGGCGGCGUGCUUAACACAUGCAAGUCGAACGGAAAGGCCCUGCUUUUGUGGGGUGCUCGAGUGGCGAACGGGUGAGUAACACGUGAGUAACCUGCCCUUGACUUUGGGAUAACUUCAGGAAACUGGGGCUAAUACCGGAUAGGAGCUCCUGCUGCAUGGUGGGGGUUGGAAAGUUUCGGCGGUUGGGGAUGGACUCGCGGCUUAUCAGCUUGUUGGUGGGGUAGUGGCUUACCAAGGCUUUGACGGGUAGCCGGCCUGAGAGGGUGACCGGCCACAUUGGGACUGGGAUACGGCCCAGACUCCUACGGGAGGUAGCAGUGGGGAAUAUUGCACAAUGGGCGGAAGCCUGAUGCAGCAACGCCGCGUGCUGGAUGACGGCCUUCGGGUUGUAAACCGCUUUCGCCUGUGACGAAGCGUGAGUGACGGUAAUGGGUAAAGAAGCACCGGCUAACUACGUG